This 1363-nucleotide long non-coding RNA is filed under the name Homo sapiens (human). RNAcentral describes it as "HSALNT0300760". The record is from RNAcentral. Lineage: Eukaryota; Metazoa; Chordata; Mammalia; Primates; Hominidae.
GAUGCUGCAGUGGGAGUGUGGAGAGAUGUGAAGGCAACAGCAGGAAUAAUGAUAAGAUUGGUUGUGAGGUACUGUAUAGAUGAGAUGGAUAGGACCAGAGAUGCACCUGAGAGCAGGAGGAAAAGGAGAGGAAAAUGGUCAUGUGGGUGCCAGAUAGUACUGCAUAACCUCUCCUUUUGAAUUUGAGGUACCUGCGUCUGCCAAGAGUAGCUUUUCCAUUUCACAACCAUCACACUUUCCUGUGAGUUCAGAGUUAAUGAAGACAUGUGGAUGCAAAAGGAAAACUUGCAGAGCAAAGUCAUUGCCAAACAGGUUGUGUAGCCUGACCUGUGAAACAUUGUGAAGAAGGAAGAUCGCAGUUUCAGGGAAGAUGACUCGAUAACACCACAGAACAGACAGAUUGCCCAUCAUGAUUACAUCCAAUGGUGUCUUGGCCAAAUAAAAGAUGGUGGUAAAUGGAUAAGAGUCAAGGUGAUUUCAAGCAGAAAGGGCCCUUUGAAAUCACCUCCCAGAAACACUGAGGUGGAGAGAUAGGGAGUGACUCGUCCAAGGUCAUGCAGCUUGCAGGUCAGAAGCUGGAGAUGGUUGGGAAUCUGCUGGAUGUGUGUGCUGGUGAAGGGCAAGGCUUGAGAGGAAGACUUUGCCUUCCUCUGGAUUCAGCACUUGCAAAUCUGGAAGACAAAUGUGACAUCAAUGUCAUCACCAUUCAUGCACUCUCAGCUUUCUUCCCCUGAGACUUUUCUGAAGAACAUUCUUUCCUUCCAAGAAUGACUUUCCAUUGCUGAUUUCAAAAAACCAUAGAUUUUGUUUCCACCUCUGUUGUUUUGUUGUUCUUGUUUGCUCUCUGAUUUGUGUUGUGAUUAUCUUGUGUUUGCUUCUCUAUUUAAUAUCAAUAGUUUCUAUGAAAAAGGAGGACUGUUAUUAAAUAAUUGGAACUCUGAACCCAGAAAUAAAAUUAAGUAAAAGUUUUCCAAACUUUUCACCCUCCAUUUCUACAGAGGCUAUAUGGCUUGACCUAAGAAAUAUUGCAGAAAGAAUAUCCAAGUUUAAGGGCCAAUGACUGUAACUACUGCAAAACAGGCCUCUAAGUUUCACAACAUCCUGUGAAAAGGCCAGAGGAUAGCCGAUGAAUUUUGGUCAAAUUUGCAAAAAUAAAGAAAAAUAAUACUGUAUUCCUGCCUGCAUUUUCUUCUUGACUGGCACCAAUGCUCUUAGAGGCAGGUCAGUAAGUCAAGAUGCCCAAUCUAUUUACCAAACCAGGGUAGCUUGCCAGACCACACAUGGCUCUCCAGCCCAAGUUUUCAAGGUAAACAUAUCUUUUAUAUAAAGGCCUCUGCUUCUCAGAGGGGAGAUGUGGAGAAAG